UCUCCGUUGGUGAACCAGCGGAGGGAUCAUUACCGAGUGCAAACUCAUAACCCUUUGUGAACCUAUAUCUGUUGCUUCGGCGGCUCGCUCUCGGGCGAGCCCGCCGGUAAUAUCAGUAUCUCUGUUUGAACCCGACGAUACUUUUGAGUGUUCUUAGCGAACAGUUAAAACUUUUAACAACGGAUCUCUUGGCUCUA
Molecule: unclassified non-coding RNA, 197 nt
Filed under: plant metagenome
Description: partial contains small subunit ribosomal RNA, internal transcribed spacer 1, and 5.8S ribosomal RNA
Source: RNAcentral